UAAUUUACUGAGCAUGUCAAUCACCUGUAAACUGAGAAAACGAAACUACUCAAUUACCCCAUCCUCAGGAAUUCUUUAUCUGAUUGAAUUCUUUGUUUACUCUACUGUUGUUUACUGCAUCUUGUUAUCUGUUGCUUAAUU
This 141-nucleotide small RNA is filed under the name Arabidopsis thaliana (thale cress). RNAcentral's name for it is "ATSL162480". Lineage: Eukaryota; Viridiplantae; Streptophyta; Magnoliopsida; Brassicales; Brassicaceae. The record is from RNAcentral.